GAUGAAGAACGCAGCAAAAUACGAUAAGUAAUGUGAAUUGCAGAAUUCAGUGAAUCAUCGAAUCUUUGAACGCACAUUGCGCCCGCCAGUAUUCUGGCGGGCAUGCCUGUUCGAGCGUCAUUUCAACCCUCAAGCUCAGCUUGGUGUUGGGACUCGCGGUAACCCGCGUUCCCCAAAUCGAUUGGCGGUCACGUCGAGCUUCCAUAGCGUAGUAAUCAUACACCUCGUUACUGGUAAUCGUCGCGGCCACGCCGUAAAACCCCAACUUCUGAAUGUUAACCUCGGAUCAGGUAGGAAUACCCGCUGAACUUAAGCAUAUCAAUAAGCGGAGGA
This 333-nucleotide unclassified non-coding RNA is filed under the name soil metagenome. RNAcentral's name for it is "partial contains 5.8S ribosomal RNA, internal transcribed spacer 2, and large subunit ribosomal RNA". The stretch from base 1 to 120 matches the Rfam family "5.8S ribosomal RNA", at positions 35 to 154 of the family's 154-position model. The record is from RNAcentral.